UCUAACGUGGACCCGUUACCCGGGUUGCGGACAGUGUCUGGUGGGUAGUUUGACUGGGGCGGUCUCCUCCUAAAGAGUAACGGAGGAGCACGAAGGUUGGCUAAUCCUGGUCGGACAUCAGGAGGUUAGUGCAAUGGCAUAAGCCAGCUUGACUGCGAGCGUGACGGCGCGAGCAGGUGCGAAAGCAGGUCAUAGUGAUCCGGUGGUUCUGAAUGGAAGGGCCAUCGCUCAACGGAUAAAAGGUACUCCGGGGAUAACAGGCUGAUACCGCCCAAGAGUUCAUAUCGACGGCGGUGUUUGGCACCUCGAUGUCGGCUCAUCACAUCCUGGGGCUGAAGUAGGUCCCAAGGGUAUGGCUGUUCGCCAUUUAAAGUGGUACGCGAGCUGGGUUUAGAACGUCGUGAGACAGUUCGGUCCCUAUCUGCCGUGGGCGCUGGAGAACUGAGGGGGGCUGCUCCUAGUACGAGAGGACCGGAGUGGACGCAUCACUGGUGUUCGGGUUGUCAUGCCAAUGGCACUGCCCGGUAGCUAAAUGCGGAAGAGAUAAGUGCUGAAAGCAUCUAAGCACGAAACUUGCCCCGAGAUGAGUUCUCCCUGAGACUUAGAGUCUCCUGAAGGAACGUUGAAGACGACGACGUUGAUAGGCCGGGUGUGUAAGCGCAGCGAUGCGUUGAGCUAACC
Molecule: ribosomal RNA, 681 nt
Filed under: Salmonella enterica subsp. enterica serovar Newport
Lineage: Bacteria; Pseudomonadati; Pseudomonadota; Gammaproteobacteria; Enterobacterales; Enterobacteriaceae
Description: partial 23S ribosomal RNA
Rfam family: Bacterial large subunit ribosomal RNA
Source: RNAcentral